Molecule: non-coding RNA, 204 nt
Filed under: Paenibacillus antarcticus
Lineage: Bacteria; Bacillati; Bacillota; Bacilli; Caryophanales; Paenibacillaceae
Description: FMN sequence
Rfam family: FMN riboswitch aptamer (RFN element)
About the family: The RFN element is a highly conserved domain that is found frequently in the 5'-untranslated regions of prokaryotic mRNAs that encode for flavin mononucleotide (FMN) biosynthesis and transport proteins. This element is a metabolite-dependent riboswitch that directly binds FMN in the absence of proteins.
Source: Rfam by way of RNAcentral
AUGGAUCUUCGGGGUAAGGUGAAAUUCCUGACCGGCGGUGAGAGUUCAUUCUUACGAUAGAUUGUUAAGCCAAGCUUGAUUGGGUUUGGCAAUCCAUCAUAAAUGAACUUAUAGCCCGCGACUCGUCUUUCAUGAAAUGAUGAAGGCGACUGACUUGGUGUGAUUCCAAGGCCGACGGUAAAGUCCGGAUGGGAGAAGAUCAAA